CAGCCGCCGCGGUAAUACGAAGGGUGCAAGCGUUACUCGGAAUUACUGGGCGUAAAGCGUGCGUAGGUGGUGGUUUAAGUCUGUUGUGAAAGCCCUGGGCUCAACCUGGGAAUUGCAGUGGAUACUGGGUCACUAGAGUGUGGUAGAGGGUAGCGGAAUUCCCGGUGUAGCAGUGAAAUGCGUAGAGAUCGGGAGGAACAUCCGUGGCGAAGGCGGCUACCUGGACCAACACUGACACUGAGGCACGAAAGCGUGGGGAGCAAACAGGAUUAGAGACCCGUGUAGUCCCUGUCUCUUAUAC
Molecule: ribosomal RNA, 301 nt
Filed under: uncultured bacterium
Lineage: Bacteria
Description: partial 16S ribosomal RNA
Rfam family: Bacterial small subunit ribosomal RNA
Source: RNAcentral